Molecule: ribosomal RNA, 1428 nt
Filed under: Faucicola osloensis
Lineage: Bacteria; Pseudomonadati; Pseudomonadota; Gammaproteobacteria; Moraxellales; Moraxellaceae
Description: bacterial SSU rRNA
Rfam family: Bacterial small subunit ribosomal RNA
Source: RNAcentral
AUUGAACCGCUGGCGGCAGGCUUAACACAUGCAAGUCGAACGAUGAUUAUCUAGCUUGCUAGAUAUGAUUAGUGGCGGACGGGUGAGUAACAUUUAGGAAUCUGCCUAGUAGUGGGGGAUAGCUCGGGGAAACUCGAAUUAAUACCGCAUACGACCUACGGGUGAAAGGGGGCGCAAGCUCUUGCUAUUAGAUGAGCCUAAAUCAGAUUAGCUAGUUGGUGGGGUAAAGGCCCACCAAGGCGACGAUCUGUAACUGGUCUGAGAGGAUGAUCAGUCACACCGGAACUGAGACACGGUCCGGACUCCUACGGGAGGCAGCAGUGGGGAAUAUUGGACAAUGGGGGCAACCCUGAUCCAGCCAUGCCGCGUGUGUGAAGAAGGCCUUUUGGUUGUAAAGCACUUUAAGCAGGGAGGAGAGGCUAAUGGUUAAUACCCAUUAGAUUAGACGUUACCUGCAGAAUAAGCACCGGCUAACUCUGUGCCAGCAGCCGCGGUAAUACAGAGGGUGCGAGCGUUAAUCGGAAUUACUGGGCGUAAAGCGAGUGUAGGUGGCUCAUUAAGUCACAUGUGAAAUCCCCGGGCUUAACCUGGGAACUGCAUGUGAUACUGGUGGUGCUAGAAUAUGUGAGAGGGAAGUAGAAUUCCAGGUGUAGCGGUGAAAUGCGUAGAGAUCUGGAGGAAUACCGAUGGCGAAGGCAGCUUCCUGGCAUAAUAUUGACACUGAGAUUCGAAAGCGUGGGUAGCAAACAGGAUUAGAUACCCUGGUAGUCCACGCCGUAAACGAUGUCUACUAGCCGUUGGGGUCCUUGAGACUUUAGUGGCGCAGUUAACGCGAUAAGUAGACCGCCUGGGGAGUACGGCCGCAAGGUUAAAACUCAAAUGAAUUGACGGGGGCCCGCACAAGCGGUGGAGCAUGUGGUUUAAUUCGAUGCAACGCGAAGAACCUUACCUGGUCUUGACAUAGUGAGAAUCCUGCAGAGAUGCGGGAGUGCCUUCGGGAAUUCACAUACAGGUGCUGCAUGGCUGUCGUCAGCUCGUGUCGUGAGAUGUUGGGUUAAGUCCCGCAACGAGCGCAACCCUUUUCCUUAUUUGCCAGCGGGUUAAGCCGGGAACUUUAAGGAUACUGCCAGUGACAAACUGGAGGAAGGCGGGGACGACGUCAAGUCAUCAUGGCCCUUACGACCAGGGCUACACACGUGCUACAAUGGUAGGUACAGAGGGUUGCUACACAGCGAUGUGAUGCUAAUCUCAAAAAGCCUAUCGUAGUCCGGAUUGGAGUCUGCAACUCGACUCCAUGAAGUCGGAAUCGCUAGUAAUCGCAGAUCAGAAUGCUGCGGUGAAUACGUUCCCGGGCCUUGUACACACCGCCCGUCACACCAUGGGAGUCUAUUGCACCAGAAGUAGGUAGCCUAACGCAAGAGGGCGCUC